This 465-nucleotide ribosomal RNA is filed under the name Vreelandella stevensii. RNAcentral's name for it is "partial 16S ribosomal RNA". It matches the Rfam family "Bacterial small subunit ribosomal RNA", at positions 338 to 795 of the family's 1533-position model. The record is from RNAcentral. Lineage: Bacteria; Pseudomonadati; Pseudomonadota; Gammaproteobacteria; Oceanospirillales; Halomonadaceae.
CCUACGGGGGGCUGCAGUGGGGAAUAUUGGACAAUGGGGGGAACCCUGAUCCAGCCAUGCCGCGUGUGUGAAGAAGGCCCUCGGGUUGUAAAGCACUUUCAGUGAGGAAGAACGCCUGGUGGUUAAUACCCAUCAGGAAAGACAUCACUCACAGAAGAAGCACCGGCUAACUCCGUGCCAGCAGCCGCGGUAAUACGGAGGGUGCGAGCGUUAAUCGGAAUUACUGGGCGUAAAGCGCGCGUAGGUGGCUUGAUAAGCCGGUUGUGAAAGCCCCGGGCUCAACCUGGGAACGGCAUCCGGAACUGUCAAGCUAGAGUGCAGGAGAGGAAGGUAGAAUUCCCGGUGUAGCGGUGAAAUGCGUAGAGAUCGGGAGGAAUACCAGUGGCGAAGGCGGCCUUCUGGACUGACACUGACACUGAGGUGCGAAAGCGUGGGUAGCACACAGGAUUAGAUACCCUAGUAGUC